This 31-nucleotide non-coding RNA is filed under the name Rattus norvegicus (Norway rat). Lineage: Eukaryota; Metazoa; Chordata; Mammalia; Rodentia; Muridae. The record is from RNAcentral.
UUGGACUCUUUGGUUCAUUUGAUUGCUUGGU